Molecule: ribosomal RNA, 1417 nt
Filed under: bacterium NLAE-zl-C229
Lineage: Bacteria
Description: 16S ribosomal RNA
Rfam family: Bacterial small subunit ribosomal RNA
Source: RNAcentral
AGUAGAACGCUGAAGAGAGGAGCUUGCUCUUCUUGGAUGAGUUGCGAACGGGUGAGUAACGCGUAGGUAACCUGCCUUGUAGCGGGGGAUAACUAUUGGAAACGAUAGCUAAUACCGCAUAACAAUGGAUGACACAUGUCAUUUAUUUGAAAGGGGCAAUUGCUCCACUACAAGAUGGACCUGCGUUGUAUUAGCUAGUAGGUGAGGUAACGGCUCACCUAGGCGACGAUACAUAGCCGACCUGAGAGGGUGAUCGGCCACACUGGGACUGAGACACGGCCCAGACUCCUACGGGAGGCAGCAGUAGGGAAUCUUCGGCAAUGGGGGCAACCCUGACCGAGCAACCCCGCGUGAGUGAAGAAGGUUUUCGGAUCGUAAAGCUCUGUUGUAAGUCAAGAACGAGUGUGAGAGUGGAAAGUUCACACUGUGACGGUAGCUUACCAGAAAGGGACGGCUAACUACGUGCCAGCAGCCGCGGUAAUACGUAGGUCCCGAGCGUUGUCCGGAUUUAUUGGGCGUAAAGCGAGCGCAGGCGGUUUGAUAAGUCUGAAGUUAAAAGGCUGUGGCUCAACCAUAGUUCGCUUUGGAAACUGUCAAACUUGAGUGCAGAAGGGGAGAGUGGAAUUCCAUGUGUAGCGGUGAAAUGCGUAGAUAUAUGGAGGAACACCGGUGGCGAAAGCGGCUCUCUGGUCUGUAACUGACGCUGAGGCUCGAAAGCGUGGGGAGCGAACAGGAUUAGAUACCCUGGUAGUCCACGCCGUAAACGAUGAGUGCUAGGUGUUGGAUCCUUUCCGGGAUUCAGUGCCGCAGCUAACGCAUUAAGCACUCCGCCUGGGGAGUACGACCGCAAGGUUGAAACUCAAAGGAAUUGACNGGGGGCCCGCACAAGCGGUGGAGCAUGUGGUUUAAUUCGAAGCAACGCGAAGAACCUUACCAGGUCUUGACAUCCCGAUGCUAUUUCUAGAGAUAGAAAAGUUACUUCGGUACAUCGGUGACAGGUGGUGCAUGGUUGUCGUCAGCUCGUGUCGUGAGAUGUUGGGUUAAGUCCCGCAACGAGCGCAACCCCUAUUGUUAGUUGCCAUCAUUCAGUUGGGCACUCUAGCGAGACUGCCGGUAAUAAACCGGAGGAAGGUGGGGAUGACGUCAAAUCAUCAUGCCCCUUAUGACCUGGGCUACACACGUGCUACAAUGGUUGGUACAACGAGUUGCGAGUCGGUGACGGCAAGCUAAUCUCUUAAAGCCAAUCUCAGUUCGGAUUGUAGGCUGCAACUCGCCUACAUGAAGUCGGAAUCGCUAGUAAUCGCGGAUCAGCACGCCGCGGUGAAUACGUUCCCGGGCCUUGUACACACCNCCUAAANGNGCCACGAGAGUUUGUAACACCCGAAGUCGGUGAGGUAACCUUUGAGCCAGCCGCCUA